CCUACGGGGGGCUGCAGUGGGGAAUAUUGCACAAUGGGCGCAAGCCUGAUGCAGCCAUGCCGCGUGUGUGAAGAAGGCCUUCGGGUUGUAAAGCACUUUCAGCGGGGAGGAAGGCGGUGAGGUUAAUAACCUCAUCGAUUGACGUUACCCGCAGAAGAAGCACCGGCUAACUCCGUGCCAGCAGCCGCGGUAAUACGGAGGGUGCAAGCGUUAAUCGGAAUUACUGGGCGUAAAGCGCACGCAGGCGGUCUGUCAAGUCGGAUGUGAAAUCCCCGGGCUCAACCUGGGAACUGCAUUCGAAACUGGCAGGCUAGAGUCUUGUAGAGGGGGGUAGAAUUCCAGGUGUAGCGGUGAAAUGUGUAGAGAUCUGGAGGAAUACCGGUGGCGAAGGCGGCCCCCUGGACAAAGACUGACGCUCAGGUGCGAAAGCGUGGGGAGCAAACAGGAUUAGAUACCCGGGUAGUC
RNAcentral lists this ribosomal RNA (465 nucleotides) under uncultured Klebsiella sp. RNAcentral describes it as "bacterial SSU rRNA". It matches the Rfam family "Bacterial small subunit ribosomal RNA", at positions 338 to 795 of the family's 1533-position model. Lineage: Bacteria; Pseudomonadati; Pseudomonadota; Gammaproteobacteria; Enterobacterales; Enterobacteriaceae. The record is from RNAcentral.